Molecule: unclassified non-coding RNA, 312 nt
Filed under: uncultured fungus
Lineage: Eukaryota; Fungi
Description: partial contains 5.8S ribosomal RNA and internal transcribed spacer 2
Rfam family: 5.8S ribosomal RNA (bases 1-133)
Source: RNAcentral
UGGUUCUGGCAUCGAUGAAGAACGCAGCGAAAUGCGAUAAGUAAUGUGAAUUGCAGAAUUCAGUGAAUCAUCGAGUUUUUGAACGCACAUUGCGCCCUUUGGUAUUCCGAAGGGCACGCCCGUUCGAGCGUCAUUACACCACUCAAGCCUGGCUUGGUAUUGGGUCCACGGGGGCGACCCGGACCUCAAAAACGUCGGCGGGAAAGUCUGGAUCUCAGCGUUGUGGCAAUCAAUCCGCUGGCGAGAGAGACGUCCCGUGCCGGAAAACAUUCAUUAAAGGUUGACCUCGGAUCGGGUGGGGAUACCCGCUGA